CUGAUGGGAAACAGGUCAAUAUUCCUGUACCGAUGUGUAGUGCGAUGUGGGGACGGAGAAGGUUAGCUCAGCCAACUGUUGGAUAUGUUGGUUCAAGCCUGUAGUCAUGCCUGGUAGGCAAAUCCGCCGGGCUAAGAUGAGGGGUGAUAAGGAGGCUGCUUGCAGCCGAACUGAGUGAUACCCUGCUUCCAGGAAAAGCCACUAAGCUUCAGCUACACACGACCGUACCGCAAACCGACACUGGUGCGCGAGAUGAGUAUUCUAAGGCGCUUGAGAGAACUCAGGAGAAGGAACUCGGCAAAUUGACACCGUAACUUCGGAAGAAGGUGUGCCCUAGUAGUGUGAUGAGAACAUCUGAGCACGAAAGGGUUGCAAAAAAUAGGUGGCUGCGACUGUUUAUUAAAAACACAGCACUCUGCAAACACGAAAGUGGACGUAUAGGGUGUGACGCCUGCCCGGUGCUGGAAGAUUAAUUGAUGGGGUGCAAGCUCUUGAUCGAAGUCCCAGUAAACGGCGGCCGUAACAAUAACGGUCCUAAGGUAGCGAAAUUCCUUGUCAGGUAAGUUCUGACCUGCACGAAUGGUGUAACGAUUUGGGCGCUGUCUCGGGGUGAAGCUCGGUGAAAUUGGAUUCCCGGUGAAGAUACCGGGUACCUACAGUAGGACGGAAAGACCCCGUGAACCUUUACUGUAACUUGACAUUGGGCUUUGAUAUAUUAUGUGUAGGAUAGGUGGGAGACUUUGAAGUAGGAAUGCUAGUUCUUAUGGAGUCAUCCUUGAAAUACCACCCUUAUUAUGUUGAGGUCCUAACGGGAAAAAUGAAUGUUUUUCUUGGACAUUGUCUGGCGGGCAGUUUGACUGGGGCGGUCGCCUCCUAAAGAGUAACGGAGGCGUACAAAGGUACCUUCAGCAUGUUUGGCAAUCAUGCGUAGAGUGUAAAAGCAAAAGGGUGCUUGACUGAGAGAGUGACAACUCGAACAGGGACGAAAGUCGGUUUUAGUGAUCCGGUGGUUCUGUGUGGAAGGGCCAUCGCUCAACGGAUAAAAGGUACUCUGGGGAUAACAGGCUGAUACCGCCCAAGAGUUCAUAUCGACGGCGGUGUUUGGCACCUCGAUGUCGGCUCAUCUCAUCCUGGGGCUGUAGCCGGUCCCAAGGGUAUGGCUGUUCGCCAUUUAAAGAGGUACGUGAGCUGGGUUUAAAACGUCGUGAGACAGUUUGGUCCCUAUCUUCCGUGGGCGCUGCAGAUUUGAGGAAGCCUGCUCCUAGUACGAGAGGACCGGAGUGGACGCACCUCUGGUGUACCGGUUGUCACGCCAGUGGCAUUGCCGGGUAGCUAAGUGCGGAAGAGAUAACCGCUGAAAGCAUCUAAGCGGGAAACUCGUUCCAAGAUGAGAUCUGCCGGGGCCUUGAGCCCCCGUACUCUGCGUUGAU
Molecule: ribosomal RNA, 1430 nt
Filed under: Proasellus jaloniacus
Lineage: Eukaryota; Metazoa; Arthropoda; Malacostraca; Isopoda; Asellidae
Description: bacterial LSU rRNA
Rfam family: Bacterial large subunit ribosomal RNA
Source: RNAcentral